GCUUCUCUCCAAAGCUACUUUUCCCUGAAGACUUCCUGGAUUCCCAUAAAAUGGGGUUCAGCCACCCCUAAUGCCCGUGGCCAUUUUGUGGGAGGGAAUCCUGCUUAAAACACUGCUUUGCCCAAGGACUGUGAUUGGACUUGAUCAAGACUCUUGACUGCAGAAGAAGUCUACGAAUACGAUUUAAUUGUAAAUCAUGGCUAAAGAACUUGCCAGCAGACACUUGGCCUGCCAAUGGUAGCACUGGAUGUGCGGUGCUGGCUUGGGACAGGUGAUGAAGGAUGGGGCUCGCAUUUCAACAGUCGGUCUCCAGCAGAUUCACCAGGCACUGUACGCCACACAAGAGGAAAAAGUAGAGAAACUUCUCAAGGAGGGCAUUCAGUUUCACCCAGACAAUAUUGGCUUCCUGGGACCAUGCUGCCCAAGACGGAUGGACCCACGGAAGCAGAUGAUGCCUCUUGAGUUAUUCAGUGAAGUACUUGUAUGCUGUCAUUUAAACCUAUGUUUCAUCAACCAGUACAAGCCAUAUGGCCAAAGCCAGCACCAAUGAUGUAGAAGAGCUCUGCCUACUAUAGUUGGUGUUACUAAAAAGUCACAUGACAAAGAAGCCGCUAAUUGGUGAGUGCCAAAUAAGACUCCUUAGGAAGCAACAGAAGCUCUUUAAAUAAGCCACUGGAAGCCACUCUUCCUUCCUUUGCUGUCAGAGA
Molecule: long non-coding RNA, 707 nt
Filed under: Canis lupus familiaris (dog)
Lineage: Eukaryota; Metazoa; Chordata; Mammalia; Carnivora; Canidae
Description: lncRNA (ENSCAFG00030012678.1)
Source: RNAcentral